UGGUAGUACUAUCAAAACAAACCAAUAUAGUUUGGCAGCAUUCGUCUUAAUCAAAGGAACUUGUUUCAUAAUCGAUAAUCCUCGUUAAUUUUCUCUAACCACUCUAAAGCUUAUAUACCGCCGUUUUAAGAAUAUUUUAACAGAUUUUAUUCAGAAUUUCAUACAAAAUAAAUCAGGUCAAGGUGUAGCUCACAAGUUAGCAGAAAUAAGUUACUCUAAAAUUUAUUUAAGAAUGUUUAUAAAAAUAUUUAACUGAAAAAGAAUUUGAAAAUAAAAUCUCAUUAAUAUUUUUAUUUGAAUUAAUAAACAAAUGUGC
RNAcentral lists this ribosomal RNA (316 nucleotides) under Segestria senoculata. RNAcentral's name for it is "partial 12S ribosomal RNA". The record is from RNAcentral. Lineage: Eukaryota; Metazoa; Arthropoda; Arachnida; Araneae; Segestriidae.